GCCAGUCGGGGCUGCUGGCGUUCGACUGCGACGUCACCUUCGGCGCGUCGGGUGCGCCGGUGUUCGACCUUGCGGACCGGCGC
RNAcentral lists this transfer RNA (83 nucleotides) under Sinisalibacter lacisalsi. Its description in RNAcentral is "tRNA-Arg". Lineage: Bacteria; Pseudomonadati; Pseudomonadota; Alphaproteobacteria; Rhodobacterales; Roseobacteraceae. The record is from RNAcentral.